UACAGAGGGGGCAAGCGUUAUUCGGAAUUAUUGGGCGUAAAGGGCGCGUAGGCGGCUUGGCAAGUGGAUGGUGAAAUCCCUCGGCUUAACCGAGGAACUGCCGUCCAAACUGCUUCGCUUGAGACCGGGAGAGGUGAGUGGAAUUCCCAGUGUAGCGGUGAAAUGCGUAGAUAUUGGGAGGAACACCAGUGGCGAAGGCGGCUCACUGGACCGGUACUGACGCUGAUGCGCGAAAGCGUGGGGAGCGAACAGG
Molecule: ribosomal RNA, 253 nt
Filed under: uncultured bacterium
Lineage: Bacteria
Description: partial 16S ribosomal RNA
Rfam family: Bacterial small subunit ribosomal RNA
Source: RNAcentral